AGGCCCUCCAUUCCAGGUUUGGGCUGGCUGGCUCUUCCCCACCCUAUGCCUGGGUCUCAACUUUCCUUCCUAUGUGAGCCUGGCCUCUGAUCUCAGGAGGGGAAACUGAGGCUGGCACUUGCUGACACCCAGCCAUCAAGAGCAUCUUUAAGGAAGUAUCUUUUCUUUAUGAGGGGCCUUUCUCCAUCAGUAUCCCCUGCUGGGACUUACAGAUGUGAAUGUAGGGGAUCGUAGAGGUGGGUCUGUGAGAAGGAGGAAGGGAGUAAGUAUGAGUUUUUUGUGUAUGGGGAGCUGUGGCUGAGGGCCUGGCCAAUCUUAGUGCUGGUUCAAACGCAUGUGAGGCUAUCUUCUUGCAUAAACUGGUGGGUGUUUGGCACAUAUAUGUGUUCAUGUCUUAUCUUAGGGGCAUAUACGUACUUACUUGUCUGUGUCCAGAGGGAAGAGCUGUGUAUCAGUAUGUGUGAAUGUGUGUGCACACAUGAUUCCGUGUGCAUGUCACACCCUCUGUAUGCAUGGAGUGCAUUCUUGUCUCGCGGAACUCUGCACACAUAGUAAAUAUUUUGCUGUCGGUUUAUCUUGGCUUCCACAUGUCUCUCUGUCUCAGCUGCCCUUGGUCUGUGGUAUGUGGCUGUGAGCCUUUGCCUCUGCAUCCUGCCUGGAAUGUCACCCCCAGCAUCCUUCCCCACCUUACCCCAAGACUUGAAGACAUAUUAAUCUCAGGCUCAAGGUGGAAGUACCCAGAGAUGAGGUCACUGUCCCUCCAGGUGAUGGGAACUUGCCAUUAAGGACUCCCCAGCAGAACAAAACAAAUGUUCCCUCUCCCCUUGCUCCUCAGGUUCCUACUAAAAGGACUGCCAACCUUCUCACCACUACCCCCAGCCACUCCCCUGGGCCCCUCAGCAGCUCUGGCCCCCCAAGGAGGCCUCUCCCUGGGAAUCUCUGUCAGGGCUCUGCUGCUGCCACCACCAGAAAAACCAGCUCUGGCUCCAGGCCUGGCAACAAUCUCCACCGAGAGCUGGAGUAUGUGGGUGAGUCUGGGGUGAGAAAGGACCUAGGAGGGACGCACCGAAGCUCACCAUCCAGGACAGCCAGACCCAGUGACCCUUCCAACACCCCAGCACCCCACUUCAGCCAGGCCUGGACCAUCACAGAGUCAUCGUAUUUCAGAGCUGGAAGGUCAAUAGAGAUCAUCUGGUCCUAGCUCUCGGUCUACUGAAGUCUGGUUUCAUCGCUGCCCAAGGUUACCAAAUAGAUUAAUAGCAGAAACGGGAUCUGGACCAAGACUCCUGACUUCCCAGUCCAAGGAUUUUUUCAGAGACAUGAAACAUUCCAGGUUCCUGGGAGCCAUUAAGGAGAGUCUACACACAGAAGAGCCAGAAUGGGGGUGGUAGUGGAGGUAGGACCAUCUGAUCCUCAGGCUAGGAGCCUCCAGCCCCCAGAGCAACCUCAGCUCUGUGCAGGUUGUAGCUGCUGCAGCAGCAGCAGAGUGGCCUCCUACCAGGUGCCAGCUUCCUGGGGCAAUCUGGAGCCAGGCUUCCUCCCUUACUGCCAGGCAUUGCAUGAGGUCUAACUAGAAGGGGGUCUCCUGUCCCCUUCCCUGGGCUUCUCUUAGUAAGAACAGUUUUGCCAUCAUGGAAAAGAAAGGCAAGAACCAUGUGAUGCAGUCACCAUUGCAUCUCCAGCAUCUAGUAUCCAGGUUGUACCCAGUGUGCACUCAAAUGUACUAUUCUUCAAUGAACUUAGAGUGAGAACACCAAGACA
Molecule: long non-coding RNA, 1761 nt
Filed under: Homo sapiens (human)
Lineage: Eukaryota; Metazoa; Chordata; Mammalia; Primates; Hominidae
Description: HSALNT0296188
Source: RNAcentral